UACAUGGGGUGCAAACGUUGCUCGGAAUUAUUGGGCGUAAAGCGCACGUAGGCGGUUCGUUAAGUCGGAUGUGAAAGCCCUCGGCUCAACUGAGGAAGUGCACCCGAAACUGGCGAGCUUGAGUACGAAAGAGGAUCGCGGAAUUCCCGGUGUAGAGGUGAAAUUCGUAGAUAUCGGGAGGAACACCAGUGGCGAAGGCGGCGAUCUGGGUCGAUACUGACGCUGAGGUGCGAAAGCGUGGGGAGCAAACAGG
RNAcentral lists this ribosomal RNA (253 nucleotides) under uncultured bacterium. Its description in RNAcentral is "partial 16S ribosomal RNA". It matches the Rfam family "Bacterial small subunit ribosomal RNA", at positions 524 to 776 of the family's 1533-position model. The record is from RNAcentral.